AUAUUUACCUAGCAGAGGGGUUUUAGCCAUAAUCACUAAGGUGGCUCUCCAAGGACGAGGCUGUUUCAUUGCACCCUGAGCCUGCUGACCUCUGUGAUUUUCCCACAUGCGGGAAACUCGACUGCACAAUUUAUGGUAGUGGGGUACUGUGUGCUCGUUUUCCCCUG
This is a small nuclear RNA of Bombina bombina (fire-bellied toad), 167 nucleotides long. RefSeq annotates it as U1 spliceosomal RNA. The transcript has a single exon. The record is from RefSeq and is a predicted model, not a curated record. Lineage: Eukaryota; Metazoa; Chordata; Amphibia; Anura; Bombinatoridae.